ACGCUCGACACCUACGGGAGGCAGCAGUGGGAAUAUUGCACAAUGGGGGAAACCCUGAUGCAGCGACGCCGCGUGAGCGAAGAAGUAUUUCGGUAUGUAAAGCUCUAUCAGCAGGGAAGAAAAUGACGGUACCUGACUAAGAAGCACCGGCUAAAUACGUGCCAACAGCCGCGGUAAUCUGAGCGGCUGGCAAGGC
Molecule: ribosomal RNA, 196 nt
Filed under: uncultured bacterium
Lineage: Bacteria
Description: partial 16S ribosomal RNA
Rfam family: Bacterial small subunit ribosomal RNA
Source: RNAcentral